This is a non-coding RNA of Gymnothorax javanicus (giant moray), 72 nucleotides long. The record is from the annotation of a GenBank genome assembly. NCBI's taxonomy places the organism in Eukaryota, Metazoa, Chordata, Actinopteri, Anguilliformes, Muraenidae.
AGCACAGUGGCAUAGUGGUUAGCACUGUUGCCUCGCAAUAAGGAGAUUCUGGAUUCAAGCCCCAGCUGGCCA